UGACAAUUGGCUUUAUUUCUUUUAAACAAUCACUAAAGCAAGUUUCAAAUGUGAAUGAAUUAACAAAGCACAAAGUAUUAAAAAGUCUACACAGCAUUUCUAUUUAAAAAAAGACCCCAUUUAUGUGAAAAAGGAAUUAAAGGAAUUGGAAAUGAAAAACUGACACUUAAUUCACCAUGGUUCUCAUCAAUCAGUCUAAUCCCCAAGGAAGAAUUUCAGUCCCAGCUUUCUCAAGGUACUGCUCUGUGGUUCAACU
RNAcentral lists this long non-coding RNA (256 nucleotides) under Sus scrofa (pig). Its description in RNAcentral is "lncRNA (ENSSSCG00070020932.1)". Lineage: Eukaryota; Metazoa; Chordata; Mammalia; Artiodactyla; Suidae. The record is from RNAcentral.